NNNCCCCACCGCCGGCCCCUGCACCUCUGCGCGCGGACCGCCUGGGGCCGGAGCAACCCUUUGCCGUCCCAUUUUGCAGAGGAGGCGAGCUCAGGCCUGCCCAGAGUCACCGGUCGCGGGCCGGCGUCAAAGCGAUUAGCACCGUGCGGGCCUCAGGCCGGGGCUCGGAAAGCGUUGGGCUCCUUUCCUUUAGAUCACAUUGGCAGAGAAGCUCUAUGAGGACAGGAACUGUGACGCCCUUUUUGCCUCCUCCCCCAAAGGUCUUGUAAAGUAAUUGGGGGGGGGAGGCCAGGCAGAAGUGGAUGAUUUGGUAUAGAAAAGAGCACCCAGCCUGCAAAUUGGUGAUGCAGGGGAGUUAAUCCAUCUAAGUUAUGGGCUAGGAUACCAGAGGAGCCCAGCUGCAGCGGAAUCCAGGGGAGGGAUGAUGGACUUAAGGGGCAGUAGGACUAGAAAGAAGGAGAAAUAUUUGAGGUGGGUUUAGGAGAAUUAAUGGGAUUUGCUGGCGGAUAGAAAGGAUGGAUGGAGAGGGAGGAAUCAAGAAGUUCCCUGAGUGGUUUAGUAGUGCUGUGUACUGAAGUGGGGGAAACUAGAAGAGAAAUAGGUAUAGGGUAAGGGAAUAAAGUGUUCUAUUGUGUGGUUUAUGAUGCAAUGUGCAGUUGUCAUCUGUAAAGAUGGGUCUAUGAGUCUGGAGCUCAGAUGACACACACAUGGGCUGGAGAUGUGAACUGGGGGCAUAUAAAGGCUAUUUACCAUACUAAAAAUAAAUGAGCUCACUUAUGGUGAGAAGUAAAGUGAAAAAAGGCAGGCCCAGGGUAGAGUCCUGGAGAAUGCAAAUACUUGAGGUUCAGGCCCUACAAUGGGGAGAGAACUGGCCAGAGAGGCAGGAGGAAGACCAAAGGGAUCCCAAGAAAGGACAGCGUGUUGCGAAGGCUGGAAUGAUCAUCUGUGCCAAAUGCUGCAGAGAGAAGAGAGGUAUGCAUCACGAUGUGAAAACUGGGAACUCUCACGCAGUCUUGGAGGGUGCCAAAGAAUGCGGGAUACAGAUCUCCAGUUCAGAGCUCUCCAGAGGCAGUGAACUGUAUGUGGAUGGACAGAGAUGUUCACCUGUGUCUUCCCAGAGUCCAGCACUGUGCCUGGCAUGCAGUAAAUAAAUAUUUGUUGAACAGCAUGAUUUGCUAUGAGCAUAUUCCCUGCCUGUAAAGUUUAUGGUUGUACUUUUUUUUUUUUUAAGUAAGCUCUACACACAACAUGGGGUUUGAACCCAUGACCCCAAGAUCGAGUUGCAUGCUCUACCAACUGAUCCAGCCAGGUGCCCCUGUGGUUGUACUUUUUAAAUUAAUAAAAGGUUAAGCAACAUAUAAAGGAGA
RNAcentral lists this long non-coding RNA (1367 nucleotides) under Mustela putorius furo (domestic ferret). RNAcentral describes it as "lncRNA (ENSMPUG00000024523.1)". The record is from RNAcentral. Lineage: Eukaryota; Metazoa; Chordata; Mammalia; Carnivora; Mustelidae.